CUACGGGAGGCUCCAGUGAGGAAUAUUGCACAAUGGGGGAAACCCUGAUGCAGCAACGCCGCGUGGAGGAUGACGCAUUUCGGUGUGUAAACUCCUUUUAUCAGAGAAGAAAAUGACGGUAUCUGAUGAAUAAGCUCCGGCUAACUCCGUGCCAGCAGCCGCGGUAAUACGGAGGGAGCAAGCGUUAUUCGGAAUCACUGGGCGUAAAGGACGCGUAGGCGGGUUUUUAAGUCAGGUGUGAAAUCCUAUGGCUCAACCAUAGAACUGCACUUGAAACUGGGGACCUAGAGUAUGAAGGGGCAGGUGGAAUUAGUGGUGUAGGGGUAAAAUCCGUAGAUAUCACUAGGAAUACCGAAAGCGAAGGCGACCUGCUGGGACAUUACUGACGCCGAGGCGUGAAAGCGUGGGGGGCAAACAGGAUUAGAUACCCGGGUAGUC
This 438-nucleotide ribosomal RNA is filed under the name uncultured bacterium. Its description in RNAcentral is "partial 16S ribosomal RNA". It matches the Rfam family "Bacterial small subunit ribosomal RNA", at positions 339 to 795 of the family's 1533-position model. The record is from RNAcentral.